This is a long non-coding RNA of Ictalurus punctatus (channel catfish), 2326 nucleotides long. The record is from Ensembl. NCBI's taxonomy places the organism in Eukaryota, Metazoa, Chordata, Actinopteri, Siluriformes, Ictaluridae.
CAGGAAGUGGGCCCCAAGGCUAGUCAGGCCUUGUACGGGUGUUCUUGUUACUUGUACACACACACACACACACACACACACACACACACACACACACACCAGCAGUCGCGGCACUUGGCCGCUGACUCAUUCAUAGCAUUCCCUUCUUUCAUCCGAGUGGAGACGGGGAGGGAGAAGAAAGACAAAUGGAGAGAAUGAGACAAUGAAGGAGUGGAAAGAGUUUAAGACAGACAAAAAUGGUUUGAACGAGACAAACUGAAGAAAUAUUAUUCGUAUUAUUAUUAAUAAUAAUAAUAAUGAAAUCACAGCAGAACUUCUCGGUGCUUUUCUUUUCUAAAACGUUUGCGCCACUCAUGCAGUUUUGCUCUAUAGACUCGCGCUCAUCUAACGAGAUAAAAUGAGAGACUUGACUAAUUUGCCGCGUGGGACUUGCAGAUACUGAUCUCCAAGACGCAGAGACGUGGGAAGCUAGCAAACGUGUAACGAUGACUUCUUGUCAGACUCGCAGACUUGAAACGAGCAGUAACAGAGACGAUCGAUACGUUCAAGUGCCUGAAAUAAAAGGAGAGGAAACAGGAAAGGAGAAAAAGAGAAAAAGUAUCCUGUGUGUGUGUGUGUGUGUGUGUGUGUGUGUGUGUGUGUGUUCCAUAAAACCUCAUGCUAGGAGUUGAAGAUGUUGGGCGGAUCUACUUUCUCCUCUGCUUGGUGAACGUCACGGCAUCAGAAGGGCCCCGGGGGAGUCUGGAGCCUAUCCGAAGGAACUCGGGACACAAGAACUCGGGUUCCAACCCAUCACAUGGCACAUUCACACAAUACGGACAAUUUUGAAAUGCCAAUCAGCCUACAACGCAUGUCUUUGGACUCAGGGAGGAAACUGGAGUACCCGGAGGGAACCCCUGAAGCACUGGGAGAACACGCAUACUCUGCACACACAGGGCGGAGGCGGGAUUCAAACCUCCAAACCUCGGAGGCGCGAGGCAAACAUGCUAACCACUAAGCCAGUUGGUCGUAGACAUAAUUAGGCUCAAGUCUCCAUAGCUGCUUUGUGACGUUGUCUAUUGUUAAAAGCAUCACACACACACACACACACACACACACACACAAAUGAAAUUCAAAACCCCUUAUUAUAUCAUGUACUUGUUUUGUUAGUGAUGGGAUGAUUGCAGGAUGUGGAGAGUCACCGCACAGGGUGGAAGCUUAUCGUAAAUGCGUAUUAUUCGUUUAAAAUGUUUAAAAAAAAUUGUGCACAGCCCAAACUGUCAAUACGAUGAGGCUCACUGUGCGAUCAAUUGACCAAUAAGAAUAAUAGUUUAGAGACUACAGAGAAUUGUUAACACUGAUUUCUUCCACCCAGUCCUGUUCUGGUGUCCUGUCUAGUCAGCAUGCACAGUUGUAUAUUUUGAACACUGGUGUGUGUUUGUGUGUGUGUAAUCCUGUGCUGCAUUACGUACUACUGUAUCGUGUGUGGCGCCUGUGUUAAAUUCCCGAAGAAACAACAUUUUGUUCCACUGUGUACAGGUUCUCCGAGGCGGAAUGGCAGAAAAUAAGGGGAAAUGUACGGGAGAUAUCAUUAUAGCUCAGGCUAGUAGGGGUGUCAUGAAAAGACACUCUUAGUAUCUGUUUAGUGCUCUGUAUCUGUAUUUGAAUUUAACACGUUAACGAGAAGGCCCACCAAAACCCUGGAAAAAACGGGAUUCCGGCUCUGACAAUUCGUCAACCUCAGCUACGUCGCUCGAGUUCAUAAUCGGUCUCGCGGUUGUUCUUUUGGUUCGUACUUGCUUGCAAUAUUUUCAAACUUUUUUCUCAAAACAAACUAGUAGCCUAAAUGAACCAACACAGCCCAGACUAAGUGGUUACCUCACGUCGACGUUAACAAACGUGGUCUGUCUUUGCCGCAAGAGCAUCAUAUCUGACCACGGUAAAUACCGUGGUGAGAAAGAAGAGCGUCUGUAUGGAAACUGUAUGGCUAUAAACAACGUAACUUCUACUAGAAACUUCUGCUUCAUAAUGUACGUUUAUAGGCGAGAUCUGUUAUUCUGAUCUGACCUAUUCUCGUUUCGCAGCGCUACAUUGUUCCGCACUGUUUCUAAUUAAAGCUCUGCCGUGAAGGUUUGCCCGCUGCACCACACCCUCCGGCAGCCACCGUCUAAAAUCAGAUUAGCAAGCGGUGUCCCAACAGACACAUGAUUUAUCUCGUGUACACUUAUCUCCCUGUAAGUGAAGGAAAUCCACAGUAAAGGAGAAUAAAACCACACCACAGUCACGCCACCAGCCUGAGAGAAAUGAAACGCCGCUUUUACAGCUUUUACUGAAAAUAAAAGAAAAA